GUUUGCGAAAUCUGCAUAUGAAAAACUUGUGCCAGCUCUCUUCCCUUCUAUUUCCUGCUUUAUGCUCUCUUCCUCGCUUGCCUAGCUACCCUGGUGCUCAGGUGCGUCUCUCUAUCCUCUACGCCUUCUUUCUUCGUUAAGAACCUCUUUUUGGCCAUUAAGAAAUAUCAGUGAAGCUAAUUCCCCAAACCUUACCCACCAGAAUUUUAAAAUUUUGAAAAUUUAACACUCAAUGCCUUUGAUUUGGUCUUCAUUUCCUUCGUUUUUCUCAGCAAUCAAACGGAUCAUAUGAUGUAAUCACUAGUGAAUUAUAUCUCACAUCUCUAUCAUUAAGCCUCUGUAAUUUCCAUCUUCUCGAUGGACUGAAUUGUAGCAAGAUUGUAGGCUUGAUCAAUCGAAUUGCAAAUGACUAGAUCUCUCUUCCUAAUUUUGAUUGUCUAGGGCUUGUGGUAUACAUUUUUGAAGUCUAUUUGAUUGGUGGAAAAGUAUGCAAUUUUUUGGAGGAUCAGAUAUCAGUCCAUCGCCACCAGCAACAACAGCGUCAGGGAACAAUGCGCACAUGAUGUAUGUGUUCAAUAGGAAUGGGGUGUGCUUGCUUUACAGGGAGUGGAAUCGCCCACUUCAUACCCUCAAUGCGCAGCAGGACCAUGAGCUUAUAUUUGGUCUUCUUUUUUCUCUCAAGUCACUAACUGCCAGGAUGGAUCCCACGAGGCUUAUUUUCUAUUUUGCAGAGAAAGGAAACCUUGGAAUGCCUCAGUUGCCUGGCCAAGGUUGUUCAUUCCACAGCUUUCGUACAAAUACUUACAAACAUAGUUUCAUGGAAAGGCCUUGUGGGAUAAAGAUUAUUUUGGUUACUCAUCCCUGGACCGGUGAUCUACGUGAAUCCCUAAAGUACAUUCACAACUUGUAUGUUGAAUAUGUUGUCAAAAACCCCCUCUAUACUCCUGGAGCUCCUAUCAGGUAACAAAUGUAUUUUUUUAUCAUUUUGAACUAAAUUAUAGAAGCUGCUUCAUGCAGAAACGUUAGUAUUUUUUUCUCUUAAGACCUCAUUGUGGUGGGGCUUAAACUCAGUAAAUAUAAAAUGUCUUUAUAUCCUAAAACCUGUGAAUGGAUCUUUUCCUCCAAAAACCUGAAAAAAUAACUUUAAAUUUGAUUUGGUUAUUGCGAACCUUGGUUCAGUCUGAUUGGAUUAUUCUCAAUCCAAUCUUCAUGGGCUUGGUUUGAAUAUUUUAUUCAAGCUCAAGCUCAAGCUGGUGCUGAAAUAAUUUAUGAACACUCCUGCUGGCUACCAAUGUAGGCACACCUUAUGAUUUGUUCAGUUAAGUGAAUUAUGAAAAGACACGUUAUUGAUCUAAAUUUGGAUGCUUCUAUGUUUUGUUACUUAAUAUCAAGAUUAACUGUUGACUUAAAUAAUCUUUUAGUUCUCUUGAGGAGUUGAGGUGUUUAACCAGGCAUUGAUGGCUUGUGCCAUGAUAAUUUAUUUGUACACCCUAUUUAAUGAUACUGGAUCAACUACACUAGUCAUUUUCUCAGAAUAAUCAGUUUUUAAAAUGUGAAUCUCAGAAUCUGACUACAACUCUGUUAAUCAAAUAAUAAAGAAAUCAGCAAAAAUUUGUUCCUGGCUUGAGAAACAAAACUGGGCUUGACAAAGAGUAGGAUGUGAUCUGGUAAAAUAUGCUGAAUCUUAUGAUUUCAAGGUUGGUUCAUGUAGUUUAUGACUUUAUGUUGAUGUAUAAGAUUUAGUUGUAGUCGCUAGUAAAUAACGUCAUGUGAGGUGAGUUUUUGGGCCUUUCCUUGCUUCUUUUCUCUUUCCCAGUGCUUGUUGGAUCUGAAGUGAAGUGAAAACCAUUGUUUGUAAAUUGUAUUACUGCUGGAUGUUAUGCAUCUUUAUUAGAUGCAUAUACUUUAGAAGGAAUAUGACUGGGUUCCCUUGGCCACUUGUUCAAGUGGUAAGAUGGUAGAAUAGGGAAAAUUUUAUUGGCAUUUUUUUUCUUGUAGUUCCUUUUGAUCUUUUAUUAAGCUGUUACUUACAUCAGACACUGGCUUUGUUUAAGAUUCCCAAGCUGUAGGCUAAUUUUUUACCUGAUGCACUUGUAUUUGCUUUGUGUAUGUGUGAGUUGUUCAAUACCUCUCUUGAUCAAUAUAUAAGGAGCAUAGCCUAGUUCGCAAGUAGAAUACAGUUGCUGUAAUCUGGCUAUACACUCAAACGAAACGUGAAAAUUUGACCCUGAAGGUCAGUGGACUUGCAUAUUUUGCGGAUACAAUUUUGAAAUGUUAUGGAAUUGCAAUAGUCAAUCCUUUCCCUCUGUGCAACGAUGGAUUUACUUAACAAUAUGCUGUGCCAGCCUAUCCUUUUCUUUUGAGGACUCGAAGACGUAUGGUUCUAUUGUAUAUUCCAUCAUUAGGAUUUAAGAAAUCCCAUUUUUGUAAGAAAACGAGAUUGUGUAUCUAAAAAUGUUGGAGUUCGCAUUAUAGUCAUUCUUCUUAUAACUCCCCACAAGAUACAGAGGCUCCAAUUUUUUUUUCAAUUAUUAUUAAGUAUUUUG
Molecule: unclassified non-coding RNA, 2546 nt
Filed under: Hevea brasiliensis (rubber tree)
Lineage: Eukaryota; Viridiplantae; Streptophyta; Magnoliopsida; Malpighiales; Euphorbiaceae
Source: RNAcentral